This 255-nucleotide ribosomal RNA is filed under the name uncultured bacterium. Its description in RNAcentral is "partial 16S ribosomal RNA". It matches the Rfam family "Bacterial small subunit ribosomal RNA", at positions 78 to 334 of the family's 1533-position model. The record is from RNAcentral.
UCUUUCUUUGCUGGCGACCGGCGCACGGGUGAGUAACACGUAUCCAACCUGCCCUUUACUCGGGGAUAGCCUUUCGAAAGAAAGAUUAAUACCCGAUAGUAUAAUGAUUCCGCAUGGUUUCAUUAUUAAAGGAUUCCGGUAAAGGAUGGGGAUGCGUUCCAUUAGGUUGUUGGUGAGGUAACGGCUCACCAAGCCUUCGAUGGACAGGGGUUCUGAGAGGAAGGUCCCCCACAUUGGAACUGAGACACGGUCCAA